UCCCUGGUGGUCCAGCAGCUAAGACUCUGCCCUCCCAAUGCAGGGGGCCUGGGUUCCAUCCCUGGUCAGGGAA
RNAcentral lists this transfer RNA (73 nucleotides) under Bos taurus (domestic cattle). It matches the Rfam family "tRNA". From Rfam's summary of the family: Transfer RNA (tRNA) molecules are approximately 80 nucleotides in length. RNAcentral also lists the same sequence under 4 other names. Lineage: Eukaryota; Metazoa; Chordata; Mammalia; Artiodactyla; Bovidae. The record is from Rfam by way of RNAcentral.